CCUAGGGGGCUGCAGUCGAGAAUCUUCGGCAAUGAGCGCAAGCUUGACCGAGCGACGCCGCGUGCGGGAUGAAGGCCCUCGGGUUGUAAACCGCUGUCGUAAGAAGGGAAAUCUAUCGGGGUUCUCCCCGGUAGUUGACCUGUCUUAGGAGGAAGUCCGGGCUAAGUUCGUGCCAGCAGCCGCGGUAAGACGAACCGGACAAACGUUAUUCGGAAUUACUGGGCUUAAGGGGUUCGUAGGCGGCCCCGUAGAAAGCCCUAGGCUCAACCGAGGAAGUGCAGUUCAUACUGCGGGGCUGGAGGGAGACAGAGGUAAGCGGAACUGAUGGUGGAGCGGUGAAAUGCGUUGAUAUCAUCAGGAACAACGGUGGCGAAAGCGGCUUACUGGGUCUCUUCUGACGCUGAGGAACGAAAGCUAGGGGAGCGAACGGGAUUAGAUACCCGGGUAGUC
Molecule: ribosomal RNA, 450 nt
Filed under: uncultured bacterium
Lineage: Bacteria
Description: partial 16S ribosomal RNA
Rfam family: Bacterial small subunit ribosomal RNA
Source: RNAcentral